CGGUUGAUCCUGCCGGACCUUACUGCUAUCGGGGUAAGACUAAGCCAUGCAAGUCGAGCGUUUCUCAAGCUAUGUUGAAAGGCGCGGCAUAAGGCUCCGUAACACGUAGUUAACCUACCCUCAGGAUGGGGAUAACCCCGGGAAACUGGGGCUAAUACCCAAUAAAUGAUUACGCCUGGAAUGGUUUAUCAUUGAAAAGGUGUUGAAAACAUGCUUUCAAAACCACCUGAGGAUGGGACUGCGUCCGAUCAGGUUGUUGGUGGGGUAACGGCCCACCAAGCCUAUGACCGGUACGGGCCCUGAGAGGGGGAGCCCGGAGAUGGAAACUGAGACAAGGUUCCAGGCCCUACGGGGCGCAGCAGGCGCGAAACCUCCACAAUGCGCGAAAGCGUGAUGGGGUUACCCCGAGUGCCGUCCGAAAAGGAUGGCUUUUCCCUGGUGUAAAAAACCAGGGGAAUAAAGGGGGGGCAAGACUGGUGUCAGCCGCCGCGGUAAUACCAGCCCCCUGAGUAGUAAGGACGAUUAUUAGGCUUAAAGCGUCCGUAGCCGGCUUAGUGAGUCUCUUGUGAAAUCCAAUGAUCCAAUCAUUGGACCGUAAGAGAUACUACUAAGCUAGAGGACGGGAGAAGUCGACGGUAUUCCAAGGGUAGGGGUGAAAUCCUAUAAUCCUUGGAGGACCACCAGUGGCGAAGGCGGUCGACUAGAACGUGCCUGACGGUGAGGGACGAAAGCUGGGGGAGCGAACCGGAUUAGAUACCCGGGUAGUCCCAGCUGUAAACGAUGCGGGCUAGGUGUAGGGGCAGCUACGAGCUGCCCCUGUGCCGCAGAGAAAUCGUUAAGCCCGCCGCCUGGGAAGUACGAUCGCAAGAUUGAAACUUAAAGGAAUUGGCGGGGGAGCAC
This 900-nucleotide ribosomal RNA is filed under the name uncultured archaeon. RNAcentral describes it as "bacterial SSU rRNA". It matches the Rfam family "Archaeal small subunit ribosomal RNA", at positions 5 to 879 of the family's 1478-position model. The record is from RNAcentral.